AGCCCGCCAUGCCUGAGCUUCCCCCCGCCCCCGCCGUGGGCUCCUGUGCGGCCCGAGCCUCCCCGACGAGCGCCGCCCCCUGCUCCACGAUGCCCAGUCCCAUCGACCACCCAAGGGCUGAGGAGUGCGGGCUCACGGUUACAGGAUUCCCAUUUCAGAACUACGACCAUUUGAAAAAUAGAAGAUUUAAAGAUUGACGCAAAGUGCAUGUACCAUGAUACACCAGGUCUCAUCUCCUGAAUAUUUGUCCUGCCCUGAGUUUUCACCUGAGGCCACCUGUACAACUGACUAGAGUAGUUCCACUGAUUGCUAAAAUGGAACAGGCAGGAUUGGUAUUGACUGUCCAAGAGCAAAGUCAGAUACAGAAUUCCCACCUUUGAGUUGUUCCUGUGUUGCAAUAUUAUCAUAAGGCUCAAGCUACCAGAGACACCCACUGUCACACUGGAGCCUGCUUCUGACCAAAACAUCCUCUGUCAAGCUAUAGACUGCUUCUGACCUCAGGUUUGCCAUUCUGAGCACAUAACAAAAAUAAAACAAGAAAAAGCAUAAGGUAUGAAAUGUUAUUCAAAAAAAGAAUGAUGAAACAAUGAACUAAAGCCUGGGCAGUAAAUAAUUCUGUCUUCAAGAUCCCACAUGGAAAAUUUUUUAGAAAGACUUCCUACCUUUCCUACUGUUUGUAAUGUGCAUCUGGAAUACUAGAGAAAGGGUCCCUAAGGUUUGCUGGAAAAAUACCUUAGCUUCUGAGUCUUAGCUUUAUUACUAAUAAACACUGGAUUUCUGGUAGUAGAGAAGGAAAUUUAGUAUUUCAUGAUGGUGAAAGAUGAAAAGAGAGGCUUUAUGGCUGUAUGAUUUGGGUAGAGCUUUUCAGUUAAUUAACGAAGAAAUAUCUGAAUUGAGUCAAUGAGGUACAGAGUUUAUUUCAUACAGAUACUUUUAAACUUCAUAAUGCCAUGACAUACCUGAUUUGUUACUAAUGUCCACAACUUAUCCACGUGUUUAUGGCAAAAAAAAAGUGCACGAAGAAGAAAAUUAUAGUUUCAAAAAUUUCUAGAAUUUGGUUUCUGGAAGAAAAUACAAGUGUCUGUGUGUUUGUGUACAUAUAUUCUAGAUAGAUGAGCCAGUAAGAUAGAGUGAGCAUUAUUUUUUCUUAUCCAAAGAAAAAUAAAAGCAAUGCACAGGUAGAAGACCUGGUAAAUUUUGUAUCAUCAUAACCACCUAAAAGUUUCGUGUGGGAAGGUAAGUCAUAACUCCAAAUAUUUUUUUCUACUUAAAAAUUAAAAUUUGUACAAGAAUAUUUGAUCCAGAAGAAAGAAAUAUAUACAUAAGGAAUUACUAGAAUUUGAAUGCAGAGCAUUUCAAACUAUCUUUAAUCCAAUGAUAUAGUUCUUAUAAAUUAAAAGUCAACAUGGCAAAUUACAAAUGUAAUAUUUAAGUGUGUCCUCAAGAAACUUAAAUAUAAAUAUUGCAAUAAUUUCUGUUAAAUUUAGUUUUAAUUCUCUUUAGUAAUGUAAAAUUCAUACCUUUAUUUUCAAAUAUAACCAUUGAGAUAAGAUCCAUUUGUCCUGGUGGAAAGUAGAAACAAAAGUGCUUUGCCUGGCAGCAAAAGAUACAAAACUUUAUCUGCCAAAACAUUCUGAGCUAAUGCAGAACAAAGGUUUGCUGCUGGGGAGUAGGGGUUGCUGAGAAAGCCUAGUUUUAAAUCCCAGGUGCAGAGUUUUAGUGGUCCAAACAGUAGAAUUGGAUCCCCACCACCACCACUCAGCAGCCUAACCCAGAGAAAGAAGCAAGAGAAGCUUGCUGCUGGGGAAGGAUCAAGAGUAAAGAUAAGAUCCCUACUUUUGCACCAAGUGUCCAGGGACUGAACAAAAUUAGGGACAAAGCAGGAACUCAGAAGAAAGAUCUAAGCAUCACUCUAAGCCCAAGGCAAGAGCAGCCCAUCUUUAAUUAAAACCACACUGGGGGCUGGGCGCAGUGGCUCAUGCCUGUAAUCCCAGCACUUUGGGAGGCCGAGGCAGGUGGAUCACAAGGUCAGGAGAUGGAGACCAUCCUGGCUAACACGGUGAAACCCUGUCUCUAAUAAAAAAUACAAAAAAAAUUAGCCAGGCGUGGUGGUGGGCACCUGUAGUCCCAGCUACUCAGGAGGCUGAUGCAGGAGAAUGGUGUGAACCCGGGAGGCGGAGCUUUGCAGUGAGCCAAGAUCACACCACUGCACUCCAGCCUGGGUGACAGAGCGAGACUCGGUCACAAAGAAAAACAAAACAAAACAAAAAACAAAAACAAAAAAAGAAAACACUGGGAAUUUGAUGUCUGUGGAGCACUGAAAAUGAUAAAAACAAAACACAAACCUAGUUCAACUCAUGACAAGACAGAAUUCCUUACGCUGACUGCUUGACAGAUGAAAAUGUGUGCCCAUUUCUCUGUGUAAUUUUCAUUUACCUUGGUUCCUAGCAUUCUUCUACAAAUAGUUUCUGGCUUUCAACCAAACAUGAGAUACACAAAGAGCCAAGAAGAAAACAACCUGUUUUCAAUAGAUAAAGCAAACAACAUAACUAGACCUAAAGAUGUGUCUGUGAGUCGGGACUAGGAUUAAUACAUACAUUUAAUACAUGUAAUAUUUAUUUAUUUCAUUGUAUGCAAUUUUUACAUAAAAACUAUAGUCUAUAGUCGUGUUGCAGAUUCAAGUUAAUAAUAUGCAAAGUAUUCAAGGGGAAAUGUAUUGAUAUCUUCAAUAUACAUUGAAAUUUAUUCAAAAAGGAAAUGUGUUAAUGGACGAAAGAUCAAUAAAUUAAAAGUGUCUGACAAAACAAUAUAAUAAAAUCUUAAUUAUAGAA
This 2831-nucleotide long non-coding RNA is filed under the name Homo sapiens (human). RNAcentral describes it as "uncharacterized LOC105374655, transcript variant 1 (LOC105374655)". The record is from RNAcentral. Lineage: Eukaryota; Metazoa; Chordata; Mammalia; Primates; Hominidae.